CCCAGAGUGGCAUAAUGGUUUGAGCAUUGGACCAUGACUCUGGAGACCAGGGUUUGAAUCCCAGCUCAGCCA
Non-coding RNA from Phrynosoma platyrhinos (Desert horned lizard), 72 nucleotides. NCBI's taxonomy places the organism in Eukaryota, Metazoa, Chordata, Lepidosauria, Squamata, Phrynosomatidae. The record is from the annotation of a GenBank genome assembly.